The sequence is a ribosomal RNA, 538 nucleotides long. The stretch from base 438 to 538 matches the Rfam family "Eukaryotic large subunit ribosomal RNA", at positions 1 to 101 of the family's 3401-position model.
CAGCCAGCUGCGUGAAUUAAAUGUUGAAUUUGCAGGACACAUUGAACAUAGACACCUUUGAACGCACAUUGCGGCUCUGGCUCACUGCCAGAGCCACGGCCUGUCCGAGGGUCGGCGAACAAGUCAUCGCACCGGCUGCCGCCGUGAAAAGCGGCUGGCCGGCUGCGCGUUGGCGUGUCGCGCGGGCAAAACAAAGUUCCGCUCGUCCGCCGUAGACUUCAGCCUCUCUCCGCCGUGGGCGGCCUCCGGAACGAAGCGGCGCGGGGACAGGGCUCGAACGGGCCUUCUGUCUUGUGCCACGUCCGACAUCGCUCGGACGACCUUCGCUCCAACGGUACRAGCCGGCGAGCAGAGAGAGCGCGACCAGCGUGUCGCGGCCACAGGAGAACGACCAACACCUUCUACCCAGUAGUAGGCAGGUCGAUCUCUCGCACAUCCGACCUCGGAUCAGACGGGAAUACCCGCUGAAUUUAAGCAUAUCAGUAAGCGGAGGAAAAGAAACUAACCAGGAUUCCCUCAGUAACGGCGAGUGAAGCGG